Molecule: ribosomal RNA, 497 nt
Filed under: uncultured bacterium
Lineage: Bacteria
Description: partial 16S ribosomal RNA
Rfam family: Bacterial small subunit ribosomal RNA
Source: RNAcentral
GACGAACGCUGGCGGCGUGCCUAAUACAUGCAAGUUGAGCGCUGAAGGUUGGUACUUGUACCAACUGGAUGAGCAGCGAACGGGUGAGUAACGCGUGGGGAAUCUGCCUUUGAGCGGGGGACAACAUUUGGAAACGAAUGCUAAUACCGCAUAAAAACUUUAAACACAAGUUUUAAGUUUGAAAGAUGCAAUUGCAUCACUCAAAGAUGAUCCCGCGUUGUAUUAGCUAGUUGGUGAGGUAAAGGCUCACCAAGGCGAUGAUACAUAGCCGACCUGAGAGGGUGAUCGGCCCCAUUGGGACUGAGACACGGCCCAAACUCCUACGGGAGGCAGCAGUAGGGAAUCUUCGGCAAUGGACGAAAGUCUGACCGAGCAACGCCGCGUGAGUGAAGAAGGUUUUCGGAUCGUAAAACUCUGUUGGUAGAGAAGAACGUUGGUGAGAGUGGAAAGCUCAUCAAGUGACGGUAACUACCCAGAAAGGGGCGGCUAACUACGUG